AUAGUUUGAAAAAUUACCGCCCUGUAAUGGAACUGAUAAUGGAAUAUUUCUGUUUCAGUCAUGUUAAGCGGUUGGCUGCCCUGUCACUGUGACGUAAAUAUCCGGUGUACAAGAUGAAGUCAUGUUAAGCGGUUGUCUGCCCUGUCACUGUGACGUAAAUAUCCGGUGUACAACAUGAAGUCAUGAUAAGCUGUUGGCUGCCCUGUCACUGUGACGUUAAUAUCCGGUGUACAACAUGAAGGUAGGUUUCUUUUUUGGUAUGAAGAUUUGUUUAUAAAUAAUAAGACGGUGUUAUAUGUGUAUGUUUAUAUACAUAUAUAUGUUCCAGUUGUGAUUAGUUAUCUGCCUGAAAGUAUAUCUUGAAAUAUUUAGUGAGAUAGUGCAAAUGGUAGGCUUCAAUGUGUAUAUUAUCGUGGACCAAGUAAUUGCGAGUUCGUCAAAUUUGACGAACUUUUCCUCUGUUCCACAACGAGAUCGAAGUGUUUUCCUUCUGAACCAUGAAAUUGAAGUAUGUGUGAAGGAAGAAUACACCAUAAAGUACAUUUAUUGAUUUAACGAAAGUAAGUGCAUAUGAGAAUUGUGGGUGUGUGGUUGAAGACAAUGUGUCUUUGAGGUUAAUCUUGCACUAUUAUUAGUAAUCUCGUAUGAAGUAUGUACUGUGGUUUGCACAAAAUGUGGUUUAGUGGCUAUAUGAGUAGACAGUGUGUUAGAUUUUAUGAGUGCAUAUUUGGUAUGAUAGGAAAGAGGCUGUAGUUCUGGUAUGUGGCCUCUGAAUUUGGGAGGUGUGAGUAGGUUAUUAGUCAGAAAAGUAUACAGGGGAAUUGAAAAGGUAUUAGCCUAUUUUAUUACGCAAUAUUUUAUUAAAGGAAAGUAUUACAAAAUCCAGCCAAGUCACAAGUAAUCUGGUCACAAUCAACUUUUAUUUCCUGUCUUACAAGUGUUCAAUGUGGCCACUACCUGCAGUACGAUGAAUAUCAUAGCGAUAAAAGAA
Long non-coding RNA from Cryptotermes secundus, 991 nucleotides. RefSeq lists it as uncharacterized. The record is from RefSeq and is a predicted model, not a curated record. NCBI's taxonomy places the organism in Eukaryota, Metazoa, Arthropoda, Insecta, Blattodea, Kalotermitidae. The transcript is spliced from 3 exons.